CAGGCGUGGUGGUGCAUGCCUGUAGUCUCAGCUACUGGGGAGGCUGAGACGGGCGGAUCGCUUAAGUCCAGGAAUUCUGGGCUGUGGUGUGCUAUACCAAUUGGGUGUCCACACUAAGUUUGUCAUCAAUAUGGUAACCUUCCGGGAGUAGGUAGCCACCAGGUUGCCUAAGGAGGGGUGAACCAGCCCAGGUUGGAAACGGAGCAAGUCAAAGCUUCUGUGCUGAUCAAUAGUGGUAUUGCACCUGUGAAUAGCCACUACACUCCCUCAUGGCAAGGUAGUGAGACCCUGUCUCUA
Non-coding RNA from Otolemur garnettii (small-eared galago), 297 nucleotides. The record is from Rfam. NCBI's taxonomy places the organism in Eukaryota, Metazoa, Chordata, Mammalia, Primates, Galagidae.